UUGGCUAAGUCCGUUCGGCGG
This 21-nucleotide small RNA is filed under the name Arabidopsis thaliana (thale cress). RNAcentral describes it as "Ath_wt_00761". The record is from RNAcentral. Lineage: Eukaryota; Viridiplantae; Streptophyta; Magnoliopsida; Brassicales; Brassicaceae.